AUGAACGCUGGCGGCGUGCCUAAUACAUGCAAGUCGAGCGAACAGACGAGGAGCUUGCUCCUUUGACGUUAGCGGCGGACGGGUGAGUAACACGUGGAUAACCUACCUAUAAGACUGGGAUAACUUCGGGAAACCGGAGCUAAUACCGGAUAACAUGUUGAACCGCAUGGUUCAACAGUGAAAGACGGUCUUGCUGUCACUUAUAGAUGGAUCCGCGCCGCAUUAGCUAGUUGGUAAGGUAACGGCUUACCAAGGCAACGAUGCGUAGCCGACCUGAGAGGGUGAUCGGCCACACUGGAACUGGGACACGGUCCAGACUCCUACGGGAGGCAGCAGUAGGGAAUCUUCCGCAAUGGGCGAAAGCCUGACGGAGCAACGCCGCGUGAGUGAAGAAGGUCUUCGGAUCGUAAAACUCUGUUAUUAGGGAAGAACAAAUGUGUAAGUAACUAUGCACGUCUUGACGGUACCUAAUCAGAAAGCCACGGCUAACUACGUG
Molecule: ribosomal RNA, 496 nt
Filed under: uncultured bacterium
Lineage: Bacteria
Description: partial 16S ribosomal RNA
Rfam family: Bacterial small subunit ribosomal RNA
Source: RNAcentral